This 1088-nucleotide ribosomal RNA is filed under the name Cladosporium herbarum. RNAcentral describes it as "eukaryotic LSU rRNA". The stretch from base 486 to 1088 matches the Rfam family "Eukaryotic large subunit ribosomal RNA", at positions 1 to 525 of the family's 3401-position model. Lineage: Eukaryota; Fungi; Ascomycota; Dothideomycetes; Cladosporiales; Cladosporiaceae. The record is from RNAcentral.
GUGACCUGCGGAGGGAUCAUUACAAGUGACCCCGGCUACGGCCGGGAUGUUCAUAACCCUUUGUUGUCCGACUCUGUUGCCUCCGGGGCGACCCUGCCUUCGGGCGGGGGCUCCGGGUGGACACUUCAAACUCUUGCGUAACUUUGCAGUCUGAGUAAACUUAAUUAAUAAAUUAAAACUUUUAACAACGGAUCUCUUGGUUCUGGCAUCGAUGAAGAACGCAGCGAAAUGCGAUAAGUAAUGUGAAUUGCAGAAUUCAGUGAAUCAUCGAAUCUUUGAACGCACAUUGCGCCCCCUGGUAUUCCGGGGGGGCAUGCCUGUUCGAGCGUCAUUUCACCACUCAAGCCUCGCUUGGUAUUGGGCAACGCGGUCCGCCGCGUGCCUCAAAUCGUCCGGCUGGGUCUUCUGUCCCCUAAGCGUUGUGGAAACUAUUCGCUAAAGGGUGUUCGGGAGGCUACGCCGUAAAACAACCCCAUUUCUAAGGUUGACCUCGGAUCAGGUAGGGAUACCCGCUGAACUUAAGCAUAUCAAUAAGCGGAGGAAAAGAAACCAACAGGGAUUGCUCUAGUAACGGCGAGUGAAGCAGCAAUAGCUCAAAUUUGAAAUCUGGCGUCUUCGACGUCCGAGUUGUAAUUUGUAGAGGAUGCUUCUGAGUGGCCACCGACCUAAGUUCCUUGGAACAGGACGUCAUAGAGGGUGAGAAUCCCGUAUGCGGUCGGAAAGGCGCUCUAUACGUAGCUCCUUCGACGAGUCGAGUUGUUUGGGAAUGCAGCUCUAAAUGGGAGGUAAAUUUCUUCUAAAGCUAAAUAUUGGCCAGAGACCGAUAGCGCACAAGUAGAGUGAUCGAAAGAUGAAAAGCACUUUGGAAAGAGAGUUAAAAAGCACGUGAAAUUGUUAAAAGGGAAGGGAUUGCAACCAGACUUGCUCGCGGUGUUCCGCCGGUCUUCUGACCGGUCUACUCGCCGCGUUGCAGGCCAGCAUCGUCUGGUGCCGCUGGAUAAGACUUGAGGAAUGUAGCUCCCUCGGGAGUGUUAUAGCCUCUUGUGAUGCAGCGAGCGCCGGGCGAGGUCCGCGCUCGGCUAGGAUGC